This 78-nucleotide transfer RNA is filed under the name Nitrososphaerota archaeon. Its description in RNAcentral is "tRNA-Arg". It matches the Rfam family "tRNA". From Rfam's summary of the family: Transfer RNA (tRNA) molecules are approximately 80 nucleotides in length. Their secondary structure includes four short double-helical elements and three loops (D, anti-codon, and T loops). Further hydrogen bonds mediate the characteristic L-shaped molecular structure. tRNAs have two regions of fundamental functional importance: the anti-codon, which is responsible for specific mRNA codon recognition, and the 3' end, to which the tRNAs corresponding amino acid is attached (by aminoacyl-tRNA synthetases). tRNAs cope with the degeneracy of the genetic code in two manners: having more than one tRNA (with a specific anti-codon) for a particular amino acid; and 'wobble' base-pairing, i.e. permitting non-standard base-pairing at the 3rd anti-codon position. The record is from RNAcentral. Lineage: Archaea; Thermoproteati; Nitrososphaerota.
GGGCCCGUAGCGCAGUACGGAUAGCGCGGCAGCCUUCUAAGCUGUAGGUCGUGCGUUCAAAUCGCACCGGGCCCGCCA